RNAcentral lists this ribosomal RNA (253 nucleotides) under uncultured bacterium. RNAcentral describes it as "partial 16S ribosomal RNA". It matches the Rfam family "Bacterial small subunit ribosomal RNA", at positions 524 to 776 of the family's 1533-position model. The record is from RNAcentral.
UACGGAGGGUGCAAGCGUUAUCCGGAUUCACUGGGUUUAAAGGGUGCGUAGGUGGGCUGGUAAGUCAGUGGUGAAAUCCCCGAGCUUAACUUGGGAACUGCCAUUGAUACUAUCAGUCUUGAAUACCGUGGAGGUCAGCGGAAUAUGUCAUGUAGCGGUGAAAUGCGUAGAGAUCGGCAGGAACACCCAGGGGGAAAGCAGUCGACUGGGCAUCUACUGACGCUGAGGUGCGAGAGCGUGGGGAGCGAACCGG